CUACGGAGGGAGCUAGCGUUGUUCGGAAUUACUGGGCGUAAAGCGCACGUAGGCGGCUGUUCAAGUCAGAGGUGAAAGCCCGGAGCUCAACUUCGGAACUGCCUUUGAAACUAGACAGCUAGAAUCCUGGAGAGGUUAGUGGAAUUCCGAGUGUAGAGGUGAAAUUCGUAGAUAUUCGGAAGAACACCAGUGGCGAAGGCGGCUCACUGGACAGGUCUUGACGCUGAGGUGCGAAAGCGUGGGGAGCAAACAGGAUUAGAAACCCUAGUAGUCC
RNAcentral lists this ribosomal RNA (274 nucleotides) under uncultured bacterium. RNAcentral describes it as "partial 16S ribosomal RNA". It matches the Rfam family "Bacterial small subunit ribosomal RNA", at positions 523 to 796 of the family's 1533-position model. The record is from RNAcentral.